CUUUGAAAGAAUGAGAUAUACAAUGUAUAAAUAAGUUUUUAUUGAUUAUAAUAUGUAAUAUAUCUCAUUCGUUAGCCAGAAAUGUUUUUUAAAUUAUUAUUGUUUACUUUAUAUAACCUGUCUCUUCUUUUUUCCAUUCCCACUAGUGGGGAUCAAACCAGCUAUAUCUCCAGUCCCUUCUCAUUUUAAACUUUUUAAAAAUUUGAGUCAUUUCUCGUUAAUUUGCCUAGGUUGGCCUCCAACUUCUGAUCCUUCUUCCUCAACCCCGCAAGGAGCUAGGAUUAUAUGUGUGCAACACCACACCCACCUUCUUUCUUAUAUCAUAAAUGUCAUGGAUCAUGAGAGAGGAGCCUUCCUGCCUCAAAUGCCUUCAUAAGGAGCAGUGUGCCUCGUGGUGAGUCUCUCUCAACUGUGGAUGCAUAGCUAGAAAACACUGCUCCUGUGUGCUGCAGGGAAUGCAUGUGAAAGAAACCACUCCUGAAGUAGGAACUCAUUGUCCAUCUUGCCCAGAAGAGGCUCAGUAAGUACUAGAGAACUGUCUACCUUUUGUUUCUUCCCAGCCUCUUACUCUUUACACGCUGGCUCUCUAGACCAGCAUUACUGGUUUAGCUUCUCUUUCACCCCUUCAGACAUAAGUUCUCACCUUCUUCACAGUUAGGCAUUGCCUUGAGUCUAGGCUGCUGUUCUGAUACUACCUUGCUCACACGGGCAUAGAAUCUACAGACUGGCCCUGGCCAGCCACACUGGGUUCCAGCUCCACUCAGGCAGAGCCGCGUGCUGUCUGCCCCAUCCCAUGGGCAGUGGUCACAAUCUAAGGACUCAGUUUGCACACUACUGAUACUACUUGACAGGUCCUGGCUUCUCCAGCCCCUCCCAGCUGGAGCUUCUGGAUAUCUUUUAGCAGGAGACUCAGGCCUCAGUUCUUCCUGUCAAUCCUGAGGUAAGUCAUGCUUCUCAACAUUUGAUGUGUGGACAGAUCCCUGGAAAUGUGGCUAACAUGAAUAGAACUGGGCUAAGGUCUGAGAUCCUGAACUGCUAAGAUGUUCCCAUGGAAGAUGAUGAUUCGUGAACUUCAUUUUGAGAAAUAAAGAAUGUAUAGCAACCUCAGCCUCCUGGGAUAAGGUUUGGAAUAUGUUUUUUAAAAUGUUUAACAUGUUAGUAAAUAUCCAUUGAACACACUCCUCUCUGGCAACUGCUGUGCUGCUAAGAUCCACUCUGCUUUUAAGGAGCUUACAUUUUAAUGGAAUAAAAGCAUUUGUUUUGAGAUUAUAUACUUUGUACAGUUUAACUUUCAUAACACC
Molecule: long non-coding RNA, 1301 nt
Filed under: Fukomys damarensis (Damara mole-rat)
Lineage: Eukaryota; Metazoa; Chordata; Mammalia; Rodentia; Bathyergidae
Description: lncRNA (ENSFDAG00000022798.1)
Source: RNAcentral